This 466-nucleotide ribosomal RNA is filed under the name uncultured Bacteriovorax sp. RNAcentral describes it as "bacterial SSU rRNA". It matches the Rfam family "Bacterial small subunit ribosomal RNA", at positions 338 to 795 of the family's 1533-position model. The record is from RNAcentral. Lineage: Bacteria; Pseudomonadati; Bdellovibrionota; Bacteriovoracia; Bacteriovoracales; Bacteriovoracaceae.
CCUACGGGUGGCAGCAGUAGGGAAUAUUGCGCAAUGGGGGCAACCCUGACGCAGCAACGCCGCGUGAGUGAGGAAGGUCUUCGGAUUGUAAAACUCUGUUCUUAGGGAAAAAUGUUCUUGUGGCUAAUAUCCACGAGGAGUGAUGGUACCUAAGUAGAAAGCACCGGCUAACUUCGUGCCAGCAGCCGCGGUAAUACGAAGGGUGCAAGCGUUGUUCGGAAUCAUUGGGCGUAAAGCGCGCGCAGGCGGAUUCGCAAGUCAGAUGUGAAAUCUCGGGGCUCAACCUCGAAACUGCGUCUGAAACUGCAAGUCUAGAAUGUCGGAGGGGGCAGGGGAAUUUCACGUGUAGGGGUAAAAUCCGUAGAGAUGUGAAGGAACACCGGAGGCGAAGGCGCCUGCCUGGACGACUAUUGACGCUGAGGCGCGAAAGCGUGGGGAGCAAACAGGAUUAGAUACCCGGGUAGUC